CGCACCUUGCGCUCCUUGGCAUUCCGAGGAGCAUGCCCGUUUGAGUGUCGUGAUAACCAUCAAGCCCCCCCUUCUCGCGCCUUUGCGGGGAGGGGCCUUGGACUUGGACGCGCUGCCGGCCGGAGACGGUCGGCUCGUCCCAAACGCAUUAGCCGCUCGUUCACCCCCCGGCCUCCUGAGCGUUCUCACUCGGCGUGAUAAGAUCACCCGUCGAGGGCUCCCUUGCGCCGGACAGCGGGGGGACUGGCUUCCAACCGUCCGCCAGGACAACCACACCUGACCAUCUGACCUCAAAUCGGGUAGGACUACCCGCUGAACUUAA
This 322-nucleotide unclassified non-coding RNA is filed under the name Hysterangiaceae sp. RNAcentral describes it as "partial contains 5.8S ribosomal RNA, internal transcribed spacer 2, and large subunit ribosomal RNA". The record is from RNAcentral. Lineage: Eukaryota; Fungi; Basidiomycota; Agaricomycetes; Hysterangiales; Hysterangiaceae.